GAGUACGUGAAACUGCUUAGAGGUUAAACCCGAUGAACCUGAAUAUCCAUUAUGGAAAAUUCAUCAUUAAUACUAUAUUAUUUAAUUAUCAAUAUAGCUAUAGUGUGCAAUUUUUCCAUAUAAGGACAUUGUAAUUUGUUAAUGUAUUAAAUAUUUAUCAAAAGAUCUAUUACUUAAGUUUAUUCAAAUUAAUUAUUUUCGGAUUUUUAACAUAGAAUAAAUGUUUUAGAUUUGAUAAAUCAUUGACAAAUUGAAUCAUAUAAGAUGCUUAAAUUUCUUUUGAAAUUUUACAAUGGUAUUUAAAUCUAUGAUUUAUUUACUUAUAUUGUAUGCAUUUUUAUGAUUAACAAUGCGAUAGAUUCAGGAUACCUUCGGGACCCGUCUUGAAACACGGACCAAGGAGUCUAACAUAUGUGCAAGUCAUUGGGUAUCUUAAUUGAAACCUAAUGGCAUAAUUAACUUAACUGUUAAAUAUGGGAUUAGUUUAUAUUUUAUUAUGAAAUAUUAAUUCAAUCCCGGGGCGUUCUAUAUAGUUAUGCAUAAUAGUAUUUAUAUUAUUUAUGUCUCUAACUAGAGCGUACCUUGAGCAUAUAUGCUGUGACCCGAA
RNAcentral lists this ribosomal RNA (607 nucleotides) under Leucopodella balboa. RNAcentral's name for it is "partial 28S large subunit ribosomal RNA". It matches the Rfam family "Eukaryotic large subunit ribosomal RNA", at positions 393 to 820 of the family's 3401-position model. The record is from RNAcentral. Lineage: Eukaryota; Metazoa; Arthropoda; Insecta; Diptera; Syrphidae.